CCUUUACUGACGCUAAAGCUCGAAGGUGCGGGUAUCGAACAGGAUUAGAUACCCUGGUAGUCCGCACGGUAAACGAUGGAUGCCCGCUGUUUGCGAUACACUGUGAGCGGCCAAGCGAAAGCGUUAAGCAUCCCACCUGGGGAGUACGCCGGCAACGGUGAAACUCAAAGGAAUUGACGGGGGCCCGCACGAGCGGAGGAACAUGUGGUUUAAUUCGAUGAUACGCGAGGAACCUUACCCGGGCUUGAACUGCCGGCGAACGAUACAGAGAUGUUGAGGCCCUUCGGGGCGCCGGCGGAGGUGCUGCAUGGUUGUCGUCAGCUCGUGCCGUGAGGUGUCGGCUUAAGUGCCAUAACGAGCGCAACCCCUCUCCGUAGUUGCCAUCGGGUGAUGCCGGGCACUCUGCGGACACUGCCACCGUAAGGUGUGAGGAAGGUGGGGAUGACGUCAAAUCAGCACGGCCCUUACGUCCGGGGCUACACACGUGUUACAAUGGGUGGUACAGAGGGCAGGCGUCCGGCAACGUCCGUCUAAUCCCGAAAGCCAUCCUCAGUUCGGACUGGGGUCUGCAACCCGACCCCAUGAAGCUGGAUUCGCUAGU
This 601-nucleotide ribosomal RNA is filed under the name uncultured bacterium. RNAcentral's name for it is "bacterial SSU rRNA". It matches the Rfam family "Bacterial small subunit ribosomal RNA", at positions 734 to 1339 of the family's 1533-position model. The record is from RNAcentral.